This 99-nucleotide ribosomal RNA is filed under the name Pseudomonas aeruginosa. Lineage: Bacteria; Pseudomonadati; Pseudomonadota; Gammaproteobacteria; Pseudomonadales; Pseudomonadaceae. The record is from RNAcentral. RNAcentral also lists the same sequence under 1 other name.
CUUGACGAUCAUAGAGCGUUGGAACCACCUGAUCCCUUCCCGAACUCAGAAGUGAAACGACGCAUCGCCGAUGGUAGUGUGGGGUCUCCCCAUGUGAGA